RNAcentral lists this unclassified non-coding RNA (346 nucleotides) under Hevea brasiliensis (rubber tree). The record is from RNAcentral. Lineage: Eukaryota; Viridiplantae; Streptophyta; Magnoliopsida; Malpighiales; Euphorbiaceae.
UGAGUUCGGAAAAACAAAGUCCGAUCUACGACGCUUGUGCCAAUCCCACAUGGGAGCCUUCUCACCAACCAUGGCUAAAGUUUUCCCGGAGUGGUUCAAGCCUAUGUUAUGUGUAUGUGACCAAAGCUGGAAAGAAAUGAAUAUUCUUUCUUCACCCACGAAAUAUCCUAAUCUUUCUUUCCUACAGCUCUUGGAAUCGAAACUCUUCCUUUCUUUCUGAGCCCAGCCACAUUUCAUUCGCCAAUACAAUGCUAAAGGUCCUUGAUGGACAAGGAAUGCGCUCUUAUCGGCGUAAAGAAGGAAGUAAGCCAGAAGUUCCUUUGCCAGCUUGAAGUUAAGUUCCUUG